UAUGGUAAACUAUAUUCUGACUCAGUGUC
This 29-nucleotide non-coding RNA is filed under the name Rattus norvegicus (Norway rat). The record is from RNAcentral. Lineage: Eukaryota; Metazoa; Chordata; Mammalia; Rodentia; Muridae.